Molecule: ribosomal RNA, 734 nt
Filed under: Marinobacter sp. MAM2
Lineage: Bacteria; Pseudomonadati; Pseudomonadota; Gammaproteobacteria; Pseudomonadales; Marinobacteraceae
Description: bacterial SSU rRNA
Rfam family: Bacterial small subunit ribosomal RNA
Source: RNAcentral
CUCAGAUUGAACGCUGGCGGCAGGCUUAACACAUGCAAGUCGAGCGGUAACAGGGGAAGCUUGCUUCCCGCUGACGAGCGGCGGACGGGUGAGUAAUGCUUAGGAAUCUGCCCAGUAGUGGGGGAUAGCCCGGGGAAACCCGGAUUAAUACCGCAUACGUCCUACGGGAGAAAGCAGGGGAUCUUCGGACCUUGCGCUAUUGGAUGAGCCUAAGUCGGAUUAGCUAGUUGGUGGGGUAAAGGCCUACCAAGGCGACGAUCCGUAGCUGGUCUGAGAGGAUGAUCAGCCACAUCGGGACUGAGACACGGCCCGAACUCCUACGGGAGGCAGCAGUGGGGAAUAUUGGACAAUGGGGGCAACCCUGAUCCAGCCAUGCCGCGUGUGUGAAGAAGGCUUUCGGGUUGUAAAGCACUUUCAGUAGGGAGGAAAACCUUAUGGUUAAUACCCAUGAGGCUUGACGUUACCUACAGAAGAAGCACCGGCUAACUCCGUGCCAGCAGCCGCGGUAAUACGGAGGGUGCAAGCGUUAAUCGGAAUUACUGGGCGUAAAGCGCGCGUAGGUGGUUUGGUAAGCGAGAUGUGAAAGCCCCGGGCUUAACCUGGGAACGGCAUUUCGAACUGUCAGACUAGAGUGUGGUAGAGGGUAGUGGAAUUUCCUGUGUAGCGGUGAAAUGCGUAGAUAUAGGAAGGAACACCAGUGGCGAAGGCGGCUACCUGGACCAACACUGACACUG